Long non-coding RNA from Dreissena polymorpha, 790 nucleotides. RefSeq lists it as uncharacterized. The transcript has 5 exons. The record is from RefSeq and is a predicted model, not a curated record. Lineage: Eukaryota; Metazoa; Mollusca; Bivalvia; Myida; Dreissenidae.
CGGGGAUUCCCGGAACUUCCGGUACAGUCUCAGAUGACACUCUCACUGCGACGUCACUUGGGAAGUUUACAACGACUGAUCCAGAUACCAAGUGUUCUGUGACGUCACCUGCAACAACCGUUUACGAGAUUAGAAAUGUGACGUUACCGACCAACCCACAGCAACCGGAGUUCGAAGUUUGGAUCGGCACCGCCGUUACGCAAGCGUCUAUCAACUUCAAUAGCCCGGCGGUUCCGUUGCCGUUAACGAUCACGUGCACUGACGGAAACCCCGCUAACGUCAUUACGGGAACGUUUAACGUCAACAUUGUUAACGCGCCACCAGCUUUCACCGCACUGCCUGCGAAUGGAACUACCCUUUUCGACGGUCUGAAGACGGCCGCUGAGACCCUCCACACGUUCAGCGUCGCCGAUAGCGACGACCCCUCACAUGUUCCGCAAGAGCUCCGGAAGCCACCCUUUUUGAAGUGGUGGCCGGAGUCGCACCUGGGUUUACAAUUAACGUAAGGACCGGGGUUACGCUGAAAGCAGCAAACGGACCUUAUGUGAUCAACGUCGACUGCUCAGAUGGCACCAAUGCCGUCACUGAAUCGUUCACUCAACCCGUGAUCGAUACGCCACCGACGUUUGUAUCCGGGAUUCCCGGAAGUUCCCCUACCGUCUCUGACGCCACUGUCGUUCAGACGCUGCUUGGGAAGUUCACAACGACGGACCCUGAUACCACGUGUUCUGUGACGUCACCUGUCUCCACCGUGUAUGAGGUCAGAAAAGUGACGUCACCCGGCGAACAC